AGAAUCAACGCUGGCGGCGUGCCUAACACAUGCAAGUCGAACGAGAAAGUGGAGCAAUCCAUGAGUAAAGUGGCGACCGGGUGAGUAACACGUGACUAACCUACCCUAGAGUGGGGGAUAACCUCGGGAAACCGGGGCUAAUACCGCAUAACAUCGCAAGGGGAAGAUCCUUGCGAUCAAAGGAGCAAUUCGCUCAAGGAGGGGGUCGCGGCUGAUUAGCUAGUUGGUGAGGUAACGGCCCACCAAGGCUUAGAUCAGUAGCCGGCCUGAGAGGGCGCACGGCCACACUGGAACUGAAACACGGUCCAGACUCCUACGGAGGCAGCAGUGGGGAAUUUUGCGCAAUGGGGAAACCCUGACGCAGCAACGCCGCGUGGAGGAUGAAGUCCCUUGGAUGUAAACUCCUUUCGAUCGGGACGAUUAUGACGGUACCGGAAGAAGAAGCACCGGCUAACUCUGCGCCAGCAGCCGC
RNAcentral lists this ribosomal RNA (472 nucleotides) under uncultured bacterium. RNAcentral describes it as "SSU rRNA". It matches the Rfam family "Bacterial small subunit ribosomal RNA", at positions 26 to 518 of the family's 1533-position model. The record is from RNAcentral.